This 254-nucleotide ribosomal RNA is filed under the name uncultured bacterium. RNAcentral's name for it is "partial 16S ribosomal RNA". It matches the Rfam family "Bacterial small subunit ribosomal RNA", at positions 524 to 776 of the family's 1533-position model. The record is from RNAcentral.
UACGUAGGGUGCGAGCGUUGUCCGGAAUUAUUGGGCGUAAAGAGCUCGUAGGCGGUGUGUCGCGUCGGCCGUGAAAACCUGCAGCUUAACUGUGGGCUUGCGGUCGAUACGGGCAUCACUGGAGUUCGGCAGGGGAGACUGGAAUUCCUGGUGUAGCGGUGAAAUGCGCAGAUAUCAGGAGGAACACCGGUGGCGAAGGCGGGUCUCUGGGCCGAUAUUGACGCUGAGGAGCGAAAGCGUGGGGAGCGAACAGG